This 440-nucleotide ribosomal RNA is filed under the name uncultured bacterium. Its description in RNAcentral is "partial 16S ribosomal RNA". It matches the Rfam family "Bacterial small subunit ribosomal RNA", at positions 338 to 795 of the family's 1533-position model. The record is from RNAcentral.
CCUACGGGCGGCUGCAGUGGGGGAUAUUGCACAAUGGGGGGAACCCUGAUGCAGCGACGCCGCGUGGGUGAAGAAGCGCCUCGGCGCGUAAAGCCCUGUCAGCAGGGAAGAAAAUGACGGUACCUGAAGAAGAAGCCCCGGCUAACUACGUGCCAGCAGCCGCGGUAAUACGUAGGGGGCAAGCGUUAUCCGGAUUUACUGGGUGUAAAGGGGGCGCAGACGGCGAUGCAAGCCAGGAGUGAAAGCCCGGGGCCCAACCCCGGGACUGCUCUUGGAACUGCGUGGCUGGAGGGCAGGAGGGGGAGGCGGAAUUCCAGGUGUAGCGGUGAAAUGCGUAGAUAUCAGGAGGAACGCCGGUGGCAAAGGCGGCCUGCUGGACUGCAACUGACGUUGAGGCCCGAAAGCGUGGGGAGCAAACAGGAUUAGAUACCCCAGUAGUC